UAAAAACAAGUUCGGGCAGUGA
This 22-nucleotide non-coding RNA is filed under the name Arabidopsis thaliana (thale cress). The record is from RNAcentral. Lineage: Eukaryota; Viridiplantae; Streptophyta; Magnoliopsida; Brassicales; Brassicaceae.